AAAGGAUCCCUAUAUACAUCGGAAGAUGCGGGUUGAGGAGAAGUCAUCUAUGGAGAUACAACCAACCAAUCAAUCAGUAUGGAUGAAUAUUGUUCAAGUGGUUUUCCAAUAAAAAUUACAUUCUGAGAAGGCUACAGAAGCAGACGAAGCCGUCAGAGCUUCCUUGCCUACCCCAUGGAAACUGCCUGAGAGCUUGAGUGUUCUGAUCUCUUUCAAUAAACUUGUUU
This is a long non-coding RNA of Myotis myotis, 227 nucleotides long. RefSeq lists it as uncharacterized. NCBI's taxonomy places the organism in Eukaryota, Metazoa, Chordata, Mammalia, Chiroptera, Vespertilionidae. The record is from RefSeq and is a predicted model, not a curated record. The transcript has 3 exons.